Molecule: ribosomal RNA, 363 nt
Filed under: uncultured fungus
Lineage: Eukaryota; Fungi
Description: eukaryotic LSU rRNA
Rfam family: Eukaryotic large subunit ribosomal RNA
Source: RNAcentral
AUAUCAAUAAGCGGAGGAAAAGAAACUAACAAGGAUUCCCCUAGUAACUGCGAGUGAAGCGGGAAAAGCUCAAAUUUGAAAUCUGGCGUCUCCGGCGUCCGAGUUGUAUUCUGGAGAAGCGUUUUCCGUGCUGGACCGUGUACAAGUCCCUUGGAACAGGGCGUCAUAGAGGGUGAGAAUCCCGUCUUUGACACGGACUGCCAGUGCUCUGUGAUGCGCUCUCGAAGAGUCGAGUUGUUUGGGAAUGCAGCUCAAAACGGGUGGUAAAUUCCAUCUAAAGCUAAAUAUUGGCGAGAGACCGAUAGCGAACAAGUACCGUGAGGGAAAGAUGAAAAGCACUUUGGAAAGAGAGUGAAACAGUAC